ACCCGCUGAACUUAAGCAUAUCAAUAAGCGGAGGAAAAGAAACUAACAAGGAUUCCCCUAGUAACGGCGAGUGAAGCGGGAUGAGCUCAAAUUUAAAAUCUGGCAGUCUUUGAUUGUCCGAGUUGUAAUCUAGAGAAGCGUUUUCCGCGCUGGACUGUGUACAAGUUUCCUGGAUACGGAACAUCAUAGAGGGUGAGAAUCCCGUCCUUGACACAGACUCCCAGUGCUCUGCGAUGCGCUCUCGACGAGUCGAGUUGUUUGGGAUUGCAGCUCAAAAUGGGAGGUAAAUUCCUUCUAAAGCUAAAUAUUGGCGAGAGACCGAUAGCGAACAAGUACCGUGAGGGAAAGAUGAAAAGCACUUUGGAAAGAGAGUUAAACAGUACGUGAAAUUGUUAAAAGGGAAACGAUUGAAGUCAGUCGCGUUUACUUGGACUCAGCCUUACCUCGGUUUGGUGCAUUUCCUUGUAGACGGGCCAGCGUCCAUGUUGUCUGCCGGAAAAGGUGCGAGGGAAUGUGGCUUCUUCGGGAGUGUUAUAGCCCUUGUUCGUAUACGGCGUGUGAUAUGGAGUGGUACAGCAUGCUUCGGCGGUGCUUGUGCUGGCAUAAUGGCUUUAAACGACCCGUCUUGAAACACGG
Molecule: ribosomal RNA, 636 nt
Filed under: uncultured fungus
Lineage: Eukaryota; Fungi
Description: eukaryotic LSU rRNA
Rfam family: Eukaryotic large subunit ribosomal RNA
Source: RNAcentral